RNAcentral lists this ribosomal RNA (463 nucleotides) under uncultured bacterium. RNAcentral's name for it is "partial 16S ribosomal RNA". It matches the Rfam family "Bacterial small subunit ribosomal RNA", at positions 30 to 506 of the family's 1533-position model. The record is from RNAcentral.
CGAACGCUGGCGGCGCGCCUACCACAUGCAAGUCGAACGAGCGAGAGAGAGCUUGCUUUCUCGAGCGAGUGGCGAACGGGUGAGUAACGCGUGAGGAACCUGCCUCAAAGAGGGGGACAACAGUUGGAAACGACUGCUAAUACCGCAUAAGCCCACGACCGGGCAUCGGGUAGAGGGAAAAGGAGCAAUCCGCUUUGAGAUGGCCUCGCGUCCGAUUAGCUAGUUGGUGAGGUAACGGCCCACCAAGGCGCCGAUCGGUAGCCGGACUGAGAGGUUGAACGGCCAAAUUGGGACUGAGACACGGCCCAGACUCCUACGGGAGGCAGCAGUGGGGAAUAUUGCACAAUGGGGGAAACCCUGAUGCAGCGACGCCGGGGGGAGGAAGAAGGUCUUCGGAUUGUAAACUCCUGUUGUUGAGGAAGAUAAUGACGGCACUAAACAAGGAAGGGACGGCAAACUACGU